This is a non-coding RNA of Biomphalaria pfeifferi, 685 nucleotides long. Lineage: Eukaryota; Metazoa; Mollusca; Gastropoda; Planorbidae. The record is from the annotation of a GenBank genome assembly.
ACUAAACAAAAACUAGAUCUAGCUCCCCCCCCCCCCCACUUGAAGACAGAAAAUCAAUUUUGGUUAAAAGUAAACGCUUAUUUUUGUUGUUAUGCCAUUAAUUUUUUAUCCAACAUGGCGCUAACGUGCAUUAUCCUAAUGACUAUCUGUCUACAUCAUGUUCAUAAUAAACACGGAUAUCGCCUUAGAGUUCUCAGUCCAUUGUGUACCUAGGUAUUACGUCAUUGAAAUGAGAGAUGAUUUCGUGGGUUGUUUCUUGAUCUAAGUACAUCAGCUUUAAAGAGCCCAGUCAUGAGCCCACUAUUGGAAUUCUUCUGUUUUGAAGAGCAAAGUUCUAUGAUAAGCCUGGAGAUCCAUCAAGGUUAAUGUUAUGCAAGAACUGUUGUGUCAAUGUGUGGCAAGGCUUAGAGAGUAUGUAGAUCUUUGUAAAACAUGCAAUUAUUGAAUCCUUGAAUGUGUAGAAAUAUGACAUCAUCUUGAAUGUAUUAUCGGUAUAGUUUGUAAGAGAGACUGUAUUUGUGUUUGAUAGAGAGAGAGAAUGUCCCAUUUCUUGCCACACAUGGUACAUGAAUCAGUUUUAAGCUCCAAAAUGGAUAUAUUCUUACAUAACAAAAUUUCAUGUAAAGAGUUUUUUUUGUCUAAUCAAUAUAUUUCUAAGACAUUAAAAUCACAUCAAAUCUCUCAU